ACGGAGGGUGCGAGCGUUAUUCGGAAUUACUGGGCGUAAAGCGCGUGUAGGCGGGAAGACAAGUCUGAUGUGAAAGCCCCGGGCUUAACCUGGGAAGUGCAUUGGAAACUGUAUUUCUUGAGUACUGGAGAGGAAGGGGGAAUUCCCGGUGUAGAGGUGAAAUUCGUAGAGAUCGGGAGGAAUAUCAGUGGCGAAGGCGCCCUUCUGGACGGAUACUGACGCUGAGACGCGAAAGCGUGGGGAGCAAACAG
RNAcentral lists this ribosomal RNA (251 nucleotides) under uncultured prokaryote. Its description in RNAcentral is "partial 16S rRNA". It matches the Rfam family "Bacterial small subunit ribosomal RNA", at positions 525 to 775 of the family's 1533-position model. The record is from RNAcentral.